UAGUACGGCGAGUGAGCGGGAAGAGCUCAAAUUUGAAAUCUGGCAGUCUUCGAUUGUCCGAGUUGUAAUCUAUAGAGGCGUUUUCCGUGCCGGACCGUGUCCAAGUCUCCUGGAAAGGAGUAUCAAAGAGGGUGAUAAUCCCGUACUUAACACGACCACCGGUGCUCUGUGAUACGUCUUCUACGAGUCGAGUUGUUUGGGAAUG
Molecule: ribosomal RNA, 205 nt
Filed under: uncultured Trichosporon
Lineage: Eukaryota; Fungi; Basidiomycota; Tremellomycetes
Description: partial 26S ribosomal RNA
Rfam family: Eukaryotic large subunit ribosomal RNA
Source: RNAcentral